This 117-nucleotide ribosomal RNA is filed under the name uncultured Glomus. RNAcentral describes it as "partial 18S ribosomal RNA". The record is from RNAcentral. Lineage: Eukaryota; Fungi; Glomeromycota; Glomeromycetes; Glomerales; Glomeraceae.
UCCUCCUUCCUGAUGAACCGUAAUGCCAUUAAUUUGGUGUUGCGGGGAAUUUGGACUGUUACUUUGAAAAAAUUAGAGUGUUUAAAGCAAGCUAACGCUUGAAUACAUUAGCAUGGA